GUCCAUGUGGCAUAGUGGUUUGAGCAUUGGACUAGGACUCUGGAGACCAGGUUUCAAAUCCCGGCCUGGCCA
Molecule: non-coding RNA, 72 nt
Organism: Phrynosoma platyrhinos (Desert horned lizard)
Lineage: Eukaryota; Metazoa; Chordata; Lepidosauria; Squamata; Phrynosomatidae
Source: the annotation of a GenBank genome assembly